RNAcentral lists this ribosomal RNA (446 nucleotides) under uncultured bacterium. Its description in RNAcentral is "partial 16S ribosomal RNA". It matches the Rfam family "Bacterial small subunit ribosomal RNA", at positions 338 to 795 of the family's 1533-position model. The record is from RNAcentral.
CCUACGGGAGGCAGCAGUCGAGAAUCAUUCACAAUGGGGGAAACCCUGAUGGUGCGACGCCGCGUGGGGGAAUGAAGGUCUUCGGAUUGUAAACCCCUGUCAUGUGGGAGCAAAUUAAAAAGAUAGUACCACAAGAGGAAGAGACGGCUAACUCUGUGCCAGCAGCCGCGGUAAUACAGAGGUCUCAGGCGUUGUUCGGAAUCACUGGGCGUAAAGCGUGCGUAGGCUGUUUCGUAAGUCGUGUGUGAAAGGCGCGGGCUCAACCCGCGGACGGCACAUGAUACUGCGGGACUAGAGUGAUGGAGGGGGAACCGGAAUUCUCGGUGUAGCAGUGAAAUGCGUAGAUAUCGAGAGGAACACUAGUGGCGAAGGCGGGUUCCUGGACAUUAACUGACGCUGAGGCACGAAGGCCAGGGGAGCGAAAGGGAUUAGAUACCCCUGUAGUC